GUGAGGGAGGGUGUGACUAGUGACAGUUAGGCAGGGAAGGGGUGACUAGUGACAGAGGGAGGGGUGACUAGGGACAGAGUGAGGGAGGUGGUGACUAGUGACAGUCACCACCUCCCUCACUCUGUCACUAGUCACCACCUCCCUCCAUCACUGUGUCACCCCCUCCCUCACUCUGUCACCAGUCAUCCCCUUACUCUGUCACUAGUCACCCCUCCCUUCCCUCAC
This is a non-coding RNA of Pelobates cultripes (western spadefoot toad), 225 nucleotides long. NCBI's taxonomy places the organism in Eukaryota, Metazoa, Chordata, Amphibia, Anura, Pelobatidae. The record is from the annotation of a GenBank genome assembly.